Molecule: long non-coding RNA, 554 nt
Organism: Chanos chanos (milkfish)
Lineage: Eukaryota; Metazoa; Chordata; Actinopteri; Gonorynchiformes; Chanidae
Exons: 5
Source: RefSeq, a predicted model, not a curated record
CUCUAUGCAGCCGGGCGACUGGAAGCCUCGAGAGAUGGCUGCGAGAAGACGAAUGUCUGGCAGUCCUUGUUUUCUUCACUUUUAUGGCUUACCGUUAAUUAUAUGGCGACCUGUUUAAGAAAAAUGAUUUGAUGGAGUGGUUAAUCAGACCAGAAGGAGCCUCACCAACAAAUGUUGGUGACUGAACUAGCUACCAGCUCGGUCUCAUGCAGAUGAGGGCAAGUGUGGAGGAGAGGCAGUAUGGACUUGAGACCUGGAGAUGAGGUCCUUGAUCAAACCGGCUGAGAGAGAGGAGCACAGGAGCUGAAGUGGAGUUGUGGCUAGCUCUGUGAAAAGAUGGUGUGAGCUGGUUCUCAGAUUACCAGAAUAGCAUGCUGAUGUCAAAGUUCUUGUUUGCAUCAGUGGAAAUGUAUUUAUAGUUGGGAGUAUAAGAUUGAAAUUGUUUUGGCUAAGAGAAGGAUGUGGUAUGUGCAAAUGUGUAACUCUAAAUGUUUGACUUUUUCUUUCUUUUCUUUUUUUUUAGUCAACAUUAAACUUGAACUGUCCUAACUGUG